Molecule: ribosomal RNA, 1439 nt
Filed under: uncultured bacterium
Lineage: Bacteria
Description: bacterial SSU rRNA
Rfam family: Bacterial small subunit ribosomal RNA
Source: RNAcentral
AGGGUUUGAUCAUGGCUCAGAACGUACGCUGGCGGCACGCCUAACACAUGCAAGUCGAACGAAGUAGCAAUACUUAGUGGCAGACGGGUGAGUAACAUGUAGGUAUCUGCCCUUUGGCCUGGAAUAACACGAGGAAACUUGUGCUAAUACUGGAUAAGUCUUUACGGAGAAAGCUUUAUGCACCAAUGGAUGAGCCUGCACUUGAUUAGUUUGUUGGUAGGGUAAUGGCCUACCAAGACUAUGAUCAAUAGCUGAUUUGAGAGGAUGAUCAGCCACAUUGGGACUGAGACACGGCCCAAACUCCUACGGGAGGCAGCAGUGGGGAAUCUUGCACAAUGGAGGAAACUCUGAUGCAGCGAUGCCGCGUGAGUGAAGAAGGCCUUUGGGUUGUAAAGCUCUUUCGUCGGGGAAGAAAAUGACUGUACCCGAAUAAGAAGGUCCGGCUAACUUCGUGCCAGCAGCCGCGGUAAUACGAAGGGACCUAGCGUAGUUCGGAAUUACUGGGCUUAAAGAGUUCGUAGGUGGUUGAAAAAGUUGGUGGUGAAAUCCCAGAGCUUAACUCUGGAACUGCCAUCAAAACUUUUCAGCUAGAGUUUGAUAGAGGAAAGCAGAAUUUCUAGUGUAGAGGUGAAAUUCGUAGAUAUUAGAAAGAAUACCAAUUGCGAAGGCAGCUUUCUGGAUCAUUACUGACACUGAGGAACGAAAGCAUGGGUAGCGAAGAGGAUUAGAUACCCUCGUAGUCCAUGCCGUAAACGAUGUGUGUUAGACGUUGGAAAUUUAUUUUCAGUGUCGCAGCGAAAGCGAUAAACACACCGCCUGGGGAGUACGACCGCAAGGUUAAAACUCAAAUGAAUUGACGGGGACCCGCACAAGUAGUGGAGCAUGUGGUUUAAUUCGAAGAUACGCGCAGAACCUUACCAACACUUGACAUGUUCGUCGCGACUUUAAGAGAUUAAAGUUUUCGGUUCGGCCGGACGAAACACAGGUGCUGCAUGGCUGUCGUCAGCUCGUGUCGUGAGAUGUUGGGUUAAGUCCCGCAACGAGCGCAACCCUCACUUUUAGUUGCCAUCAUUUAGUUGGGCACUCUGAAAGAACUGCCAGUGAUAAGCUGGAGGAAGGUGGGGAUGACGUCAAGUCCUCAUGGCCCUUACGUGUUGGGCUACACACGUGCUACAAUGGUAUCUACAACAGGAAGCGAAACAGCGAUGUUAAGCAAAUCCUUAAAAGAUACCUCAGUUCGGAUUGCACUCUGCAACUCGAGUGCAUGAAGCUGGAAUUACUAGUAAUCGUGGAUCAGCGUGCCACGGUGAAUGCGUUCCCGGGUCUUGUACACACCGCCCGUCACACCAUGGGAGUUGGUUCUACCUUAAGGCAAGGUUUAAUACCCUUGACCACGGUAUAGUCAGCGACUGGGGUGAAGUCAUAACAAGGUAACCGUA